CGCGUAGGCGGUCUUUUAAGUCAGAUGUGAAAGCCCUCGGCUUAACCGAGGAAGUGCAUUUGAUACUAAGAGACUUGAGUAUGGGAGAGGGAAGCGGAAUUCCUGGUGUAGCGGUGAAAUGCGUAGAUAUCAGGAGGAACACCGGUGGCGAAGGCGGCUUCCUGGACCAAUACUGACGCUGAGGCGCGAAGGCGUGGGGAGCAAACAG
RNAcentral lists this ribosomal RNA (208 nucleotides) under uncultured Desulfobacterales bacterium. RNAcentral describes it as "partial 16S ribosomal RNA". It matches the Rfam family "Bacterial small subunit ribosomal RNA", at positions 568 to 775 of the family's 1533-position model. The record is from RNAcentral. Lineage: Bacteria; Pseudomonadati; Thermodesulfobacteriota; Desulfobacteria; Desulfobacterales.